AUGCUCACUUCAGCAGCACAUACACUAAGAUUGGAAUGAUACAGAGGAAGGUUAGCAUGGCCCCUGCUGCAGGAUGACACACAAAUCUGUGAAGUGUUCCAUAUUUUU
Phyllostomus discolor (pale spear-nosed bat) is the source of this 108-nucleotide small nuclear RNA. Lineage: Eukaryota; Metazoa; Chordata; Mammalia; Chiroptera; Phyllostomidae. The record is from RefSeq and is a predicted model, not a curated record.